GACGAACGCUGGCGGCGUGCUUAACACAUGCAAGUCGAACGGAAAGGCCUCUUUCGGGGGGUACUCGAGUGGCGAACGGGUGAGUAACACGUGAGUAACCUGCCCUUGACUUUGGGAUAACUUCAGGAAACUGGGGCUAUUACCGGUUAGUAGCUCCUGCUGCAUGGUGGGGGUUGGAAAGUUUCGGCGGUUGGGGAUGGACUCGCGGCUUAUCAGCUUGUUGGUGGGGUAGUGGCUUACCAAGGCUUUGACGGGUAGCCGGCCUGAGAGGGUGACCGGCCACAUUGGGACUGAGAUACGGCCCAGACUCCUACGGGAGGCAGCAGUGGGGAAUAUUGCACAAUGGGUGGAAGCCUGAUGCAGCAACGCCGUGUGCGGGAUGACGGCCUUCGGGUUGUAAACCGCUUUCGCUCAUGACGAAGCUUUGUGUGACGGUAGUGGGUAAAGAAGCACCGGCUAACUACGUG
Molecule: ribosomal RNA, 467 nt
Filed under: uncultured bacterium
Lineage: Bacteria
Description: partial 16S ribosomal RNA
Rfam family: Bacterial small subunit ribosomal RNA
Source: RNAcentral